GACCUAGAUUCUUCUUCUUUCGUCGACAUAAUAAACACUUAGAAAAAAAAGCCGUAAACUCCAUCUCUGCCGCAUAGACACUCAGAUCUAUUCCUCUUCGAUACUAGCUCUGAUCUCUUCGACUUUGACUCGCCAUGACUCUCCCCGACCGACAGCACCACCUAACAUCGCGCUCGACCCUCUGUUUCUGGCCUGACAGUUACAGAUUAGAAGCGUUGAACUCAACCUAGUCAACUGCUCUUCUUUCUCCGCCUCUGUUUCCCUUCCGUCUCUCCGAUUUCAGGUUUAGGCUACACAAACGAUAUAUAGGAGAGGUCAAUCCAAGAAACAAGUUUUGGUGUUGAGCUGUGGCUGUCUACAAAUUCAUCCGAACAACAUGGCAAAGCAAUAUCUUGGGACCAUGGAGGUGCUGGACAUUUUGUUCCUCAUAAGAGGGUAGAUACUUAGUGGCAUACUUCCGUGCAACACUACUACUGCAGUCGUUUGCAGAGGAUGAUUCUUCCAAUAGUAUCGGCCAAAAUGCCUCUUCACGUGCCAUUUCUUCUCGCAUUGUCCUUAGAUGCAUGGUGUGCAUAGUUUUUGUAAUUUCAGUUUCAGGUUUGUUUGUGAAACAUCUAGGUAUCUAGUUAAGAUAUUUUGUAUGACUAUGUGAGUCUUUUAGAAAUGUAAGAUUAGAGUGCUUGUUGUAAUUGAAAAUAUUGGUAUUUGGAUUUCAUGGUUUUAAAUUUGGAAUUUCAUUUCAGAUUUCUGAUU
Camelina sativa (false flax) is the source of this 753-nucleotide long non-coding RNA. RefSeq lists it as uncharacterized. The record is from RefSeq and is a predicted model, not a curated record. NCBI's taxonomy places the organism in Eukaryota, Viridiplantae, Streptophyta, Magnoliopsida, Brassicales, Brassicaceae.